AUGCCACCACCCGGAAGAGAGUGAUAUUCCUGGUGUUUUAGCUAGCAGAUCCGACCCACUUGCUUACAGCUGAACUAGAGUAGGACAGGCCUCCUGUUUAGAUUAACACACUCUGCUGGUUACUGGUGUUUGUGAGGCAGAUCCCAUGUUUGAUAUGGGCUUUGAGUAUCAAGUGAGGUCUAACGCCCGCCAUGUCCAGCCUUAUCGGCAGACCUCAGCGUAUGACACCUUCUACACUACUCUGACUCUGGCCACCUCAACCUGCCUCUCUCGCACAGGACACUUCCGAUCCCUAGCAACAUGGGCACCCCUACAGUUGCACACACAACUUUUUCCACAGAAUCUACACAAUCCUCUGUCCCAUGCCCUCCUGCACACUUCCCACAUCUUGGAAUCUCCCUCCUACACACUGGUGUGACAUGACCAUAAAUGUGGCACCUGAAACACUGCAGUGGAUUCGGCACAAAAGCUCUAACAGGAUAACUGAUAUAUCGUAACAUGACUUUGGCAGGUAAAGACUGAUUCAAAAGGACAGAGUGUGACACCUCUUUCGCCUC
RNAcentral lists this long non-coding RNA (557 nucleotides) under Salmo salar (Atlantic salmon). RNAcentral describes it as "lncRNA (ENSSSAG00000115587.1)". Lineage: Eukaryota; Metazoa; Chordata; Actinopteri; Salmoniformes; Salmonidae. The record is from RNAcentral.